CCCUUAGAUGUUCUGGGCCGCACGCGCGCUACACUGAUCAGUGCAACAAGCAUCCGUCCUUGGCCGACAGGCCCGGGCAAUCUUUGAACGCUGAUCGUGAUGGGGAUAGACUUUUGCAAUUUUUGGUCUUCAACGAGGAAUUCCUAGUAAACGCAAGUCAUCAACUUGCAUUGAUUACGUCCCUGCCCUUUGUACACACCGCCCGUCGCACCUACCGAUUGAAUGGUCCGGUGAAGCCUCCGGAUUGGCGUGCACCCUCGGGUGCUGCCGAGAAGUUGGCUAAACCUUAUCAUUUAGAGGAAGGUGAAGUCGUAACA
RNAcentral lists this ribosomal RNA (317 nucleotides) under uncultured eukaryote. RNAcentral's name for it is "partial 18S ribosomal RNA". It matches the Rfam family "Eukaryotic small subunit ribosomal RNA", at positions 1470 to 1796 of the family's 1831-position model. The record is from RNAcentral.